Molecule: long non-coding RNA, 686 nt
Organism: Triticum dicoccoides
Lineage: Eukaryota; Viridiplantae; Streptophyta; Magnoliopsida; Poales; Poaceae
Exons: 4
Source: RefSeq, a predicted model, not a curated record
CAGGUGCUCUGCUCUUGCGCAUGUCUGGUCGCGUCUCCGGUGCAGUGGUGCUUCUUGAGGUGACUGGCGUGACGGCGGCUGUGUAUGGUGGUGACCACAAGCCUGGAGUAGAAGAAGAAGGUGAUUCCCUAAUGCCAGGUGGCUGACUAGGCGGUGCUCAUCAACGCCUACUGCCCCUUGCCCCCUAAAGCGCAACUACAUGUAUGCUUAUACUUCCACCAAACUCAAUAACCUCAUCGAUGGUCUGUGCUGCUGCCUCCCGCUAGUGUUGAUGUGUGUAGAGAAGCUGCCUGUGCAUUUGUUGCAGCCUGGGGCUGAAGCAGAAGCUGGUUCCUAAGUUCCAUAGCUGACUAGUGGAGCUCGGCGACAAGCUACAGAUUUGUAGAACGGAGGACCCGGCUGGGCUGUUGACGGCAACCGAGAUGAUUGCCUUCAUUCGUGUUUUGACGUGAGCUCUAGGCCGAAGUUGGAAGAAGCAAGGCAUGCAGGAUCUAGGCAUGCAUGCAUGCUGUCUUAUCCCUCCUGCUCCUAAGGAGAUGCAGGACUUUGUUCUAAUGUUGGCCUUGGAAUUUGGAUGUACUGCUGAUUUUGCUGAGAAUUUGAUGUAUAUGUCCUUGCUAACUUGUUAUUCAAAUGCUGGAAGUUAUGUACAUAUUCUUAGAAUAAUAUUGUUUACCUAAAAUGCA